Molecule: ribosomal RNA, 469 nt
Filed under: uncultured bacterium
Lineage: Bacteria
Description: bacterial SSU rRNA
Rfam family: Bacterial small subunit ribosomal RNA
Source: RNAcentral
UGGGGAAUUUUGGACAAUGGGGGCAACCCUGAUCCAGCCAUGCCGCGUGAGUGAAGAAGGCCUUCGGGUUGUAAAGCUCUUUCGGCGGGGACGAAACGGUCCGUGACAACACCACGGACUAAUGACGGUACUCGCAGAAGAAGCACCGGCUAACUACGUGCCAGCAGCCGCGGUAAUACGUAGGGUGCAGGCGUUAAUCGGAAUUACUGGGCGUAAAGCGUGCGCAGGCGGCUCCUUAAGUCAGAUGUGAAAUCCCCGGGCUUAACCUGGGAACUGCGUUUGAAACUGGGGAGCUAGAGUGUGGAAGAGGGGGGUGGAAUUCCAGGUGUAGCAGUGAAAUGCGUAGAGAUCUGGAGGAACACCGAUGGCGAAGGCAGCCCCCUGGGCUAACACUGACGCUCAUGCACGAAAGCGUGGGGAGCAAACAGGAUUAGAUACCCCCGUAGUCCCUGAGCGGGCUGGCAAGGCG